UACGUAGGGUGCAAGCGUUAAUCGGAAUUACUGGGCGUAAAGCGUGCGCAGGCGGUUGUGCAAGACCGAUGUGAAAUCCCCGGGCUUAACCUGGGAACUGCGCUUGUUACUGGCAGACUGGAGUGUGGCAGAGGGGGGUGGAAUUCCAGGUGUAGCAGUGAAAUGCGUAGAUAUCUGGAGGAACACCGAUGGCGAAGGCAGCCCCCUGGGCUAACACUGACGCUGAUGCACGAAAGCGUGGGGAGCAAACAGG
Molecule: ribosomal RNA, 253 nt
Filed under: uncultured bacterium
Lineage: Bacteria
Description: partial 16S ribosomal RNA
Rfam family: Bacterial small subunit ribosomal RNA
Source: RNAcentral